GACGAACGCUGGCGGCGUGCUUAACACAUGCAAGUCGAGCGGUAAGGCCCUUUCGGGGGUACACGAGCGGCGAACGGGUGAGUAACACGUGGGUGACCUGCCCUCAGCUCUGGGAUAAGCCUGGGAAACUGGGUCUAAUACCGGAUAUGACUCCAUGACGCAUGUUGUGGGGUGGAAAGCCUUGUGCGGCUGAGGAUGGGCCCGCGGCCUAUCAGCUUGUUGGUGGGGUGANGGCCUACCAAGGCGACGACGGGUAGCCGGCCUGAGAGGGCGACCGGCCACACUGGGACUGAGACACGGCCCAGACUCCUACGGGAGGCAGCAGUGGGAAUCUUGCGCAAUGGGCGAAAGCCUGACGCAGCGACGCCGCGUGAGGGAUGACGGCCU
Molecule: ribosomal RNA, 387 nt
Filed under: uncultured bacterium
Lineage: Bacteria
Description: bacterial SSU rRNA
Rfam family: Bacterial small subunit ribosomal RNA
Source: RNAcentral